This 248-nucleotide ribosomal RNA is filed under the name uncultured Lactobacillus sp. RNAcentral describes it as "partial 16S ribosomal RNA". It matches the Rfam family "Bacterial small subunit ribosomal RNA", at positions 116 to 354 of the family's 1533-position model. Lineage: Bacteria; Bacillati; Bacillota; Bacilli; Lactobacillales; Lactobacillaceae. The record is from RNAcentral.
CGUGGGGAACCUGCCCCAUAGUCUGGGAUACCACUUGGAAACAGGUGCUAAUACCGGAUAAGAAAGCGGAUCGCAUGAUCAGCUUUUAAAAGGCGGCGUAAGCUGUCGCUAUGGGAUGGCCCCGCGGUGCAUUAGCUAGUUGGUAAGGUAAAGGCUUACCAAGGCGAUGAUGCAUAGCCGAGUUGAGAGACUGAUCGGCCACAUUGGGACUGAGACACGGACCCAAACUCCUACGGGAGGCAGCAGGC